GACGAACGCUGGCGGCGUGCCUAACACAUGCAAGUCGAACGGAACUGCCCGAAUGAAGUUUUCGGAUGGAUUUUGGGUAUGUUUAGUGGCGGACUGGUGAGUAACGCGUGAGCAACCUGCCUUGGAGUGGGGAAUAACACCGGGAAACCGGUGCUAAUACCGCAUAAAGUGCAGAGGGGACAUCCUCUUUGCACCAAAGGAGCAAUCCGCUCUGAGAUGGGCUCGCGUCCAAUUAGCUAGAUGGUGAGGUAAAGGCCCACCAUGGCGACGAUUGGUAGCCGGACUGAGAGGUUGAACGGCCACAUUGGGACUGAGAUACGGCCCAGACUCCUACGGGAGGCAGCAGUGGGGAAUAUUAGGCAAUGGGGAAACCCUGACCUAGCAACGCCGCGUGAAGGAUGAAGGUUUUCGGAUUGUAAACCUCUGUUCUUGGAGAAGAGUGUAAGACGGUAUCCAAGGAGGAAGCCCCGACUAACUACGUGCCAGCAGCCCGGGUAAUAAUGUGUGUA
This 509-nucleotide ribosomal RNA is filed under the name uncultured bacterium. RNAcentral's name for it is "bacterial SSU rRNA". It matches the Rfam family "Bacterial small subunit ribosomal RNA", at positions 28 to 533 of the family's 1533-position model. The record is from RNAcentral.